AGCGAACGCUGGCGGCAGGCCUAACACAUGCAAGUCGAACGAACCUUUCGGGGUUAGUGGCGGACGGGGGGGUAACACGUGGGAACGUGCCUUUAAGUUUGGAAGAACGCAGGGAAACUUGUGCGAAUACCGGAUGUGCUCUUCGGGGGGAAGAUUGAUCGCAUUUAGGGCGGCCCGCGUCUGAUUAGCUAGUUGGGUGAGGUGAUGGGUCACCAAGGCGACGGUGAGUAGAUGGUCUGAGAGGAUGAUCAGCCACAUUGGGACUGAGACACGGCCCAAACUCCUACGGGAUGCAGCAGUGGGGAAUCUUGCGCAAUGGGCGAAAGCAUGACGCAGCCAUGCCGCGUGAAUGAUGAAGGUCUUAGGAUUGUAAAAUUCUUUCACCGGGGACGAUAAUGACGGUACCCGGAGAAGAAGCCCCGGCUAACUUCGUG
RNAcentral lists this ribosomal RNA (434 nucleotides) under uncultured bacterium. Its description in RNAcentral is "partial 16S ribosomal RNA". It matches the Rfam family "Bacterial small subunit ribosomal RNA", at positions 29 to 507 of the family's 1533-position model. The record is from RNAcentral.